UACGGGGGGUGCGAGCGUUGUCCGGAUUUAUUGGGCGUAAAGAGCUCGUAGGCGGCUUGUUGCGUCAGCUGUGAAAACCCGCAGCUCAACUGUGGGCUUGCAGCUGAUACGGGCAGGCUUGAGUUCGGUAGGGGAGACUGGAAUUCCUGGUGUAGCGGUGAAAUGCGCAGAUAUCAGGAAGAACACCCGUGGCGAAGGCGGUUCUCUGGGACGGUACUGACGCUGAGACGCGAAAGCGUGGGGAGCGAACAGG
RNAcentral lists this ribosomal RNA (253 nucleotides) under uncultured bacterium. Its description in RNAcentral is "partial 16S ribosomal RNA". It matches the Rfam family "Bacterial small subunit ribosomal RNA", at positions 524 to 776 of the family's 1533-position model. The record is from RNAcentral.